This 189-nucleotide ribosomal RNA is filed under the name Triticum aestivum (bread wheat). RNAcentral's name for it is "partial small subunit ribosomal RNA". The record is from RNAcentral. Lineage: Eukaryota; Viridiplantae; Streptophyta; Magnoliopsida; Poales; Poaceae.
AUGGUGAAGAUUAAAUGUUCAAAGGACGAUGUGAGAGUCCACACCUUGGCACAUAUGUUCAGGGCAAAUGGUAUACCACUAGAGAAUAUUUAUGUGCGUCGGAGCGGGAAUGCUUAUCUCUGUGGCCAGAAGUUUAUGAGGGAACUCGCCAAGCAAGAACUGGACGAAUGUGGGGACGACUGGAUGUAA